CAGAUUUACCAGCUUGUUUACUGCUUCUCUUGAUGAAGGAGAACAGGCUAACCCAACAGCCAGAGGCAGGAACUAUAGCAAAAAAUGUCGGGGGAACUCCCAAUCUAUCAUUUCACUGGUGCCAGUAAUUCAGCAAGAUCCAUGGCACUACAGCAUUUGCUAUGCUUAAACAAACAUCCAGUUAAACUUGAUGGUGGUGUAGACAAUGGAUGCUCAGCAGAGAACCUGACAUCACUCCUGAAGUGGCAGAAAUGCGUUGUUCACUUACCUUCCUGAAAGAAUGGUUUAAUAAUUCAUCUAGAAGUAUUUUCCCUCAGAAAAUAAUUCACUGGUGAAUAAUGAGAGAAUGGUUUCAGUGUUAUACAAGAGCAUGUGCUCUGUGCAAUUGUUAGAGGGAGAAAAUCACUUCAGCGAGGGCUCAGCCCAAGCAUUCUACACCAUUACGUUUGAUGGUGCCACUCAAAGCAGUGCCAUACAGUCUUGACCACGCGAAACAAGAAGCCAUAAAGCCCCAUGCUCUUGGCAGGCAAGGGGGAUUACUUUAAAUCUGAGGAUAAUUUUUUUUUCAGGAAAAACUGAAGGCUGAUUUAUUUUACAGAGAUCUCUGUGCUACAUUGCCUGUGCUUGUUUGCGUGCAGCUUGCUCAUGUCAUGUGCUGGACCACACUGGGGACAUAGAUACAUCCUAAUGGCACAUAUAAGGAGAGUUCUUUCCAGGAAGGAAGGACAACAGGAGGUUUGAGAAAGAAGCUCCACACAGCUCUGGUCCAAAGUCACAGAAGGAGAGGAACCAGAAAGAAGGGAAGAACCAGGAUCUCAAAACUAUUCAGUCACAGCAGCGCUUCCUGAGCCGAGUCUCACAUCAUGUGGAAUACCCUGAUUUGAUCUAACUGCAAGGAACAGUUUCCCACUUUUAUACAUGGAGGUAUUUUGGAAGAGGGUUUUGUUUUUGUUUUAAAUGCAACCCUGCUGUUCCAGCUCACAUUUUGUUUUCCCUAAGAGAAAAGAAAAACAACUGGAAAAUGGAUAAGAACUGCAUUGUUCCAAUCCCUACUUUCUGCCAUUUCAGUUAAUUACUGUAUUGCAGAAGUUGGUGACACUUUUCAAGAAACUGAAGUGAGCUGACCAUUGUGAAGGAAGAGAGGCUGACAGCAGAAGAGAGAGGCAAAGGGAUAAUGCCCCAGAGGCAGAAAAAAGCCAUGAGCAAAUUGAAUUACCACAACCCAUCCCAGUGAGUCCUCUGCCCUCUCUUGUCUACCUCACUUUGCUCAUUUAACCUAAAGAAAGACUUGUAGUACUGUAAAAGAGUAAAAUCUAUCCCUAUAACAGACAGUGUGACUUAGACGCAUGAGGACAGCCUUUGGGCCUUGUAUUCCAGCUAUACAGGCAGCACUUCCAUGUGGGAGCAAGGCGGAUGUGGUACCCACCCUAUCUGCAGGACAUAGGCUGCAGCCAUCUAUGCCCUUGUGGCCCUAUCUUGGCUUGAUGAAUUCCUCUCCACCUCAUCCUCUAUCUUGUCAGUGCUGAGCAUCAUGAUGUUAAGCCUAUUGGAAUACUUGUCUUAAAUCACAUGGAAAUAUAAAGCUUCUUCUCACAGGUGAAAUUCAGAGGCAAACACAAAGACCUGCCUGGUGCUUACAAGCUUCAUUACAACUUGUGCUGGCCAUGAUGGUCUCCCACUCCAAAGGAAGUGCCUAUAGAGCUGUGCAAAACUCAUCCCAUCCUGCUGAGAAUUUUCAGAUCUCAGAUUUUGCUUUGUCACCAACACAAAGAAAGCCGACCAGCUCUCCUCAGUGCCUGUGCCUGUUCAGGCUGCUCCCCUUAUUGAUGGGAGAAGGUGCUUCUGCUGAGGGACCUGUCUCACUGGAGGUAAAGAUGGAUGCAGAUCAAGCUGAUGUCAAGACUCCCAGAGCCCUAGUUUUCCUCUAGCUUCUGCUCCUGACAGCUGGGAGGGAAUGGGGAGCAGCCACCCCAGAACACUGAGUAAUUAUUUGCCUCUCUUGAACAAAUUGGAAGGAAGCUAGACAUUUUGUGAUGGAAAUUUUUCAGCUUCCCAUACAUUCCUCAGUAAAGUCAUGCCAUCCAUGUGGAAAGUUUUGAUUGUGACUCGUCAAUGAAGAAACAUGCCAUUGAGUAAUUGCUGUCCUGGCUUUAUUUGCAGUUGUCCUUCUUUUUGAACAUUAAUGAGAAAGCAACCUUAUGAGUCAGAAGCAGUUGGUGGGAGAGAACUUAACUGAGCUUACCUUUACUUCUUGUACUUGUAACUCAGAUAAGAUUCGAUGACCUCUUUCUCUUCUGUCUGCCUAGACCAUUCCCCAUCUCCAGCUGUGGACUAGCAGAUAGCUAGAAAUGGGUUGAUGCUCAUCUUAACCAAAACAGAGAUGUCAGGGGAAAAAAAAAAAAAAAAAAAAAAAAAGAAGAAGUAUUG
Molecule: long non-coding RNA, 2427 nt
Filed under: Gallus gallus (chicken)
Lineage: Eukaryota; Metazoa; Chordata; Aves; Galliformes; Phasianidae
Description: lncRNA (ENSGALG00010014752.1)
Source: RNAcentral